ACUCAAAUAAAUCUAUGAGGAAAUUUCAUCAGAUAAGUCAUUUCAGAUGUACUAUUUGCUUACCACAUUCGCAGUAUAGGAACCCCUAUACACGUUAUGUGUAGACUAUUUAAGAAAAACAAUGAUCAGUUCAUAUUGCUGUUAUGUGUUAUUUUCUAAUGAUAGAUAUAUUGUUUGCACAUAGCUUCGAUAAACCCUGUCAUUUCAAUGCUAUAUGCGUGCAUCUUCGAUACAAGAAAAUGUUGUCAUAUUGUCAAAAAUUUUAUACAGAAAGUUCAGCUGGAAAAUCCACCACAAACUAUGGUUUUUCUUGCAUUUGGUAGAUGUACUCGUAUUUUGAUACUAUAAAAAGAAAUUUGCCGUGAUGCUGAUGGAGUAGAAGGUGGCGCGAGAACCAGUAGAUCUCGCCUAACGACGCCGAGCAAUUUGCUGUUUCGUAAGAACCCAAUAGCGGAUAUGGGUUGCAGUCGAUCCAGCAACAGCAGGGAUCUGGCCAGUAGUAGCAAAACAAUCUUGACGGCAACCGCAGCGGAGGCGAUUGUGGUAACUUACAACGCGGAAACAUGCCGAUGCGCAACCGGAACAACAUCCAGGGCAGCCAAGGUGGUUGACAGCAGCAACACGCAAGAAUCGCAACUCCUGAAAAAGCUACCCAACAAACAUUGGAAGCUAAAUAAGGGCUUAUUUCGUUAAAAAUUAGCUUCUUCAGCUAAAAAACUAGCUUGUUCAACUCAAAUUGUUUGUUGGGUAUGGCCAAUUGGAGGAUAACUUCAACAAGAAAAGGCAGACUGAAACAACUACCGGGAACUCAGUAAUAAUCGUUCCAUCUCAGCAACCAACGUAAAUAACCAAAAACGAAAAUGAAUCGUCCAUGUUUUUGAGCCGCCGCAAGAUGAUUUCCAUCCGGAACCUGCUAUAAACAUACCUUCUACAUAUUCCAAAAUGCAACGUUAAAUUAAAAGAAAAAUACAAAAAUAAAAAAAUAUAUUUUAAACUUUUAUUAAUUUGUCUUAUUUAUUAUGGAUAAUCAUAUUACACACCACAAUAACUAUAAAGUAUUCAAAUCAAUUGCGUAUGGAUUUUCUAUGAAACCUAUUAGGUUUGCAUAUAAUUGCUCUAAUGUUCAAUGUUAUUUUCCAUAUUAUUAACCAAUAAUCUUCUA
Molecule: long non-coding RNA, 1162 nt
Organism: Armigeres subalbatus
Lineage: Eukaryota; Metazoa; Arthropoda; Insecta; Diptera; Culicidae
Exons: 3
Source: RefSeq, a predicted model, not a curated record